Molecule: non-coding RNA, 38 nt
Filed under: Prorocentrum micans
Lineage: Eukaryota; Dinophyceae; Prorocentrales; Prorocentraceae
Source: RNAcentral
UUUUUUUUUUUUUUUUUUUUUUUUUAUUUCAUGAUUUU